This 850-nucleotide ribosomal RNA is filed under the name uncultured bacterium. RNAcentral describes it as "bacterial SSU rRNA". It matches the Rfam family "Bacterial small subunit ribosomal RNA", at positions 57 to 915 of the family's 1533-position model. The record is from RNAcentral.
GCAGUCGAGGGGUAUGGUUCUUCGGACCAGAGACCGGCGCACGGGUGCGUAACGCGUAUGCAAUCUACCUUUUACAGAGGGAUAGCCCAGAGAAAUUUGGAUUAAUACCUCAUAGCAUAGCAGCUUCGCAUGAAGUCACUAUUAAAGUCACAACGGUAAAAGAUGAGCAUGCGUCCCAUUAGCUAGUUGGUAAGGUAACGGCUUACCAAGGCUACGAUGGGUAGGGGUCCUGAGAGGGAGAUCCCCCACACUGGUACUGAGACGCGGACCAGACUCCUACGGGAGGCAGCAGUGAGGAAUAUUGGACAAUGGGCGCAAGCCUGAUCCAGCCAUGCCGCGUGCAGGAUGACGGUCCUAUGGAUUGUAAACUGCUUUUGUACAGGAAGAAACAGUUCUACGUGUAGAACCUUGACGGUACUGUAAGAAUAAGGAUCGGCUAACUCCGUGCCAGCAGCCGCGGUAAUACGGAGGAUCCAAGCGUUAUCCGGAAUCAUUGGGUUUAAAGGGUCCGUAGGCGGUUUAGUAAGUCAGUGGUGAAAGCCCAUCGCUCAACGGUGGAACGGCCAUUGAUACUGCUAGACUUGAAUUAUUAGGAAGUAACUAGAAUAUGUAGUGUAGCGGUGAAAUGCUUAGAGAUUACAUGGAAUACCAAUUGCGAAGGCAGGUUACUACUAAUGGAUUGACGCUGAUGGACGAAAGCGUGGGUAGCGAACAGGAUUAGAUACCCUGGUAGUCCACGCCGUANACGAUGGAUACUAGCUGUUGGGCGCAAGCUCAGUGGCUAAGCGAAAGUGAUAAGUAUCCCACCUGGGGAGUACGUUCGCAAGAAUGAAACUCAAAGGAAUUGACG